UUUAUUGGAUUCACGCCGGAAAUCUUACCGGGACCGACAGCGAUACCCCUUAUAGGGUGAAGAGCGUGCCGGAANAGCNGAGAGGGGGCGUUUGGCCGNCGNCAGNNCGNACGGNGAAGCANCCGGNNAAGNCAGGCAACGAGCGAGACCCACGCCCACAGUUGCCAGCGNACUCNCCGGAGNGANGGGNACACGGNGGGGACCGCCGCUGCUAAAGCGGAGGAAGGAAUGGGCAACGGUAGGUCAGUAUGCCCCGAAUAUCCCGGGCUACACGCGAGCUACAAUGGUUGGUACAAUGGGUAUCUACCCCGAGAGGGGAUGGCAAUCUCCUAAAACCAAUCUUAGUUCGGAUUGAGGGCUGCAACUCGCCCUCAUGAAGCUGGAAUCCGUAGUAAUCGCGUUUCAACAGAACGCGGUGAAUACGUCCCUGCUCCUUGCACACACCGCCCGUCAAACCACCCGAGUAGGGUCUGAAUGAGAGCGCUUACCAAUCGGAGGCGUUCGAAUUUGGGCUUUGCAAGGGGGGUUAAGUCGUAACAAGGUAACCAAGGGCGAAU
RNAcentral lists this ribosomal RNA (557 nucleotides) under uncultured archaeon. RNAcentral's name for it is "partial 16S ribosomal RNA". It matches the Rfam family "Archaeal small subunit ribosomal RNA", at positions 902 to 1458 of the family's 1478-position model. The record is from RNAcentral.